UCUUCCCGGACCGGGGCACGAACCCGCAUCCCCUGCAUCGGCAGGCUGACUCUCAACCACUGCGCCACCAGGGAAGCCCUGGAUUUUUUUUAGGUUUACUCUGGAACUAUACCUCAGCCCCUCUUUUUCCUUCUUGGUUUUGACAUUUUCACAAUUACAAGUCAGAUCUUUGUAGAAUAUUCCUCAUUUUGGGUUUGUCUAAUAUUUCCUCAUGGUUAUAGCGAGGUUGUGCAUUUCUUGGACAGAUAUUACGUAGAAUUGAUGUUAUGUGUUUCCUGGUAUGCCUGUCAGGAGGCACAUGAUGUCUGUCCAUGACUGGUGAUGCUAAUUGGCUUACUUCCUUGAGGUGGUGUCUGCCAGGUCUAUCGUAAAAUUACUAUUUCCUCUCAUCAUAAUUAAUAAAUAUAUAAUGAGAUACUUUGAGGCUAUGUAGCUAUUGGGUUACUCUCCUAUUUUGUCACCCAUUGAUGAUUCUUGUCUGAUUCAAUUUAUUACUAUACAUGUAUUAAAUGGUGAUUUUCUAACUUCACAUUUUUUCCUCUAUAUUCAUUACUUGACCUUAAAAGGGCUCUUCUUUCUUUGCUAUUUAUUUUUUGAGUGAUGCUUGGUAAAUAGCUUCUUCCCUGAGCCCCCCCCAGAUGCACCCCUUCUCUGAGAUCCCCACACAUCCUCACAAUCCAGCAACUAAAAGUCUAACUCUUGGAAAUCAGGGGGCUUCCAGGGCUCCUCUUCACUGGCGUUCACUUGGACUGGUCAGUGCCUGUGCUGUGGCUUCAAUAUGUGAAGCCAGAAUGGGAUUCCUGCCCAUCCAGGAAAUAGACUAGUUAAGGGCAAUUGAACUUCUGGUUCAGUGGUCCUCAAUCUCGGAUGCAAAUUGGAAACACCUGGAGAGUUUAAUCAUUCACUAAUGCCUGGUCGCUGCUCCCAUCACCCAGGUGACUCUGAUAUGCUGUCAAGGUUGGGUGUCACUGCCGUGGUGGAGCAGAGGAGUCGGGGAGCCUGCUUGUUCAUCUCAGCUAAGUAUAGCAGGAAUUUAAACGUGAUGAGAAUUCUAGCAAACAGGAGUAAGAAACUAACUUAUCAGCUUUAUGAAGGAGAGGGAGACAGAGACAGGGGAAGGAGGAAGAAGCAGAAGGAGGAGGAGAAGAAAAAUAGAAGAGAUGGGAAGAGAGGAGAGAGGGAGGGAGAGAAAUGGGGCAAAGUAUAAACAAUGGAUAAAGCUCAUUUUAGGGCAUAUGGGAAUUCUUGCGACUUUCCUAUAAAUUUGAAAUUGUAACAAAAUAUUCUUAUUCCUCAGGAAAGACCAGGUCCUUGUAAACAUUAGCCUGUGGGUCCUCUUGUCAUCACAGAAAAAAGUAAUGAGGGAAUACAUCCCUUAUUUGCUCUCCACAUUUAAGAUGGAGUUUUGAGUAGAGGAGGUGAGAUGCAAAAAGAGUUACAGUCUCAGAGUCACUCAGAGCUGACCUGAACUUAGAGACCACUGAGGGAUGAGGAAUGACAGAGACCCAUCUGCCAGAAGGUUCUAGGAGGAAGUUGGGGUCAUCCCUUUCCACCUCAACUCUGAGCCCUUCUUUUUGUAAUGUGUCAUUAGGCUUUCUGGAAACUGCAGUCACAAAACACAUAAACUGGAAAAACACUUGAGGUCAUCUAAUUCACGCUCCUACCCUGUGUAGGAAUGUUUUCAAACAUUUCCCCGUCUAAUAUAUAUGGAUAAUAUCAAUAUAAAUGCAUCCCUUUUAAAUAUAGAAACAAAUCAUUCUCCAUAGGUUGAUAUAAAUAUAGUUCCUCUCUGGAGGCAGUCAGCAGCGGGGGAAAUGAUCCAUGGCACUGGGAAAGACUCAGAGGUGGAUGCUGUGAACCCAAGGAGAAAAUGGCCAGCCAGGGGCUCAUAGAAGCUUCACCUCAGCUCCACAAGGGCGGGGGGUGGGGGUGGGUGCUUGUCCAUUUCCUGUUCAUUUUGGUGGUUUCUGUUCUGACCUAAUGUCAAGCUCACAGAGGAUGCUCAGUGAAUAUGUGCAUGGCGACUAAAUGUUGAGAUCAAGAGAUGGAGAGGAAAACAAAAUGAAAGAAGGAAGGCUUAAUAAGAACCAGAAAUUGAAGUGGGUACAGAGGAGAGGAACUGCACAGGGCCAUGAGCUAUACAAAUGGAGCAUUAGAAGAUUCUGGCUGCAGAACCUUGGAGUAGCUGCCCAGCUGACUUGAACUUGUCAAGACAGACCCGAGAAUAAGGCUGUAGCACAGACCGAGAAUGUAAUUUGUGCACUUCAGACUGCUGCCAAAGGGCCUCAACCGUGUUUUAAGAUUAUGACCUAAAAGAGAGCCUUCAUUUCACUUGAACGUUGACAACAGAGAAGCCCAGCAGUGAACCCAGACGAUCCCUCUGGCUUCCGAGCGAAACAAAGGCUCAAAGUAAGACACAGAGGGACUGGUACAGUCCUCUUGGCUAACAGUACUGAGUGCUGACCCUGCCUUCCCCCAAUGCCGGCCAUGCCUCCCGCCAGGCUCCCACUGGCUUGAUGGCCACUCAAGAAGGUAACUGAAGAUGAGGACUGUGUACCAAACAGCUUUGACUCUCCCCCCAGUGACCUGCACCGAGACCGUGGUCCAGGACUCUCUCUCUUUCAGUCCAAUGGCUCCAUUCCCUUGGCAACUUAGAGACAUGCAGUCUGGAAGACCUAGAUUCAAACUCUCCAAUGGACCAUUUCUGUAGGGAGAGGUCAGCCAUCAGUUGGUGCUCUGGGCCUGGAUGUGUUUGGAAAAUGCGGAUCCUUCCUGGACUCAGAGCCACCCUCCACCCAGCAAGAGACCCUCACGCUUGGGAGGGAGUCACCCUCACACUCACCGAGAAAUAGACAUUGCCGUCCGGUGAGACUCCUCCAACAACCAGAUUGCUUCCCACCAUGGUGUAGCGAUUUGUGAUACCCAAGCCCACCCAGCCAGCUGUCUGGACCUGGAGCUCAAAAGUGAUGAUCUCAGCCUCAAGGUCAAAGUCCCAGUGCAGGAAAAUAACAUUAGAAGGAUCUAGGAACAUGGAAUAACGCAGACGUGAUGUGAGGCCCAGGUGGUUGCCUUGAGAGGAGGUCAGCAGGGCCAUAAGUAGGAGAAGCCGAAAGAGAAGGGCACAGGCCAUGGCUCCUGGGGUCUGAAGCAUCUCUCCUUAGAUGGACACUCAAGAAAAGUGAUGCACAGACAGGGAGUGGGACUCCAAGUGGCCCUGCCUUCCAGCCUCCCUACAGUGCAGGAGGAGAGGAGGUGUUGGGAGAUGCGGAGGGGAAGGCUAUGGUCUCCAUCUCCUGGAAGAGUCUUUACUACUAAUCCCUGGAAGGACAUGUAGAGAUUGCCAUUUGGAGAAGUCACCUUCGGGGACCCUCCACUGGAGUCUUGGCCAACUUCCCCGCUGGCAAGCUCUUUGACAACGGAGAGGAUCUGAAAAAUUAACAAGGAUACAUGCCUCGAGGGCCUCCUCCAUCACAGAAUCCGGACCACACACCUCCACACAGGAAUCCAGCUUAAGUGAGGGCAGGAAGAAGCUGGCACCUCUGUUUACGCCUCCAUUCAGGCCACGCAUGUUCUUCUCAUCACCUAUGGAGCCCAUCAAAGCUGAGGAAAACACAGGUCACUGGAGAUGAGUGUCCAUUGCCGACCGCCCAACACUGACCUGCAGCAGCCUCUAUGCCUAUGAGAAGAUGUCUUUGUUCAAUCUGCAAGUGUGGCUUCAUUGCAAUGAGUUACUUUAAUUCCUUGCAAAAACUUGAGGCACGGAUUCAGCACGGAAUCUCUGCGAAGCAGCUAAGAGGGUGCAGGGCCAGACACCUUCACUAAGGCCCCCAGUGAGCCUGGGGAGUGUGUACGAAUGCCGACACAAGCUUGGUGGAGCAAAGCCCCAGGUGGGUCCUGGUACCUCGCGGACAGGCUGAAACCCUGCGCUGCAUCCUGAGGAAUUCCCAGUACCCCUGGAUGAGCUGGUACCAACAGGAUCUCCAGGGGCAGCUACAGUUGCUGGCCAAUCUGCGGAGUUCUGGGGAUGAGAAGGUCAUAUCCCUUCCUGGAGCAGAUUACCGGGCCACGCGGGUCGGUGAAACAGAGCUGAGCCUACACGUGGCCAAUGUGACCCAGGGCAGAGCCCUAUUCUGCACCUGCAGUAAAGACACAGUGAGACAUCCUUCUUGGGCAAAUGAAUAAAAACCACCCCUGCUUCCCAACCACAGACCCAAUGUCCUCCUCUGCCCUGACGGUCCCCCAGCCUGCUUCCUCCCCACCCAGAGACUCCCUUCUGGCCUCUUUACUACAAGCAGACCUCCCCCGCCACUUUCCCACUGCGCUUCAGAGACACUCGGCCAAAUGAGCACAGCAAUCGACCCAUGGGCUCUGCAGGGCUGGGGGCAGCCUUGACUCUGCCACUUGGGGCUUUGGGGAAGACCUCAUCUCACUGAAACUUAGUUUCUGUGUUUGCAAAGUACAGACAGUAACUCUACCCAACUCAGAAGGUUGCUGCUAGGAUUAACAACGCAAUUCAGGUGAAGCCUUUAGGAAAAUACAGAGGCACGUAGGAAGCACUUAAUCACUGUUAGCUAUUUUCUCCACAGUAUGCGUGUAUAAAAGGCAUAUAGCGGGCUUCCCUGGUGGUGCAGUGGUUGAGAGUCCGCCUGUUGAUGCAGGGGGCGUGGGUUCGUGCCCCGGUCCGGGAAGAUCCCACAUGCCGCGGAGAGGCUGGGCCCGUGAGCCAUGGCCGCUGAGCCUGCGCAUCCGGAGCCUGUGCUCCGCAACGGGAGAGGCCACAACAGUGAGAGGCCCGCGUACCGCAAAAAAAAAAGCAUAUUGCAUUUCAGUACCAGUAUCAGUGCCCAGAGGGGUGCUGAAAAGAAGCCCAGAGGGGUGCUGAAAAGGAACCCAGAGAAAUUCUGGGAGCUCAGAAAAGGGGUAGAGUGAAUAUCUCAACGUAUGACCCCCCCACUCACACCGCUGGAAUAAAUAAGCACACGUUUUUUCCAGUUAGAUCCACAUUCUCGGCACUCAGCACUGCCUAAAUUUCUCACACCUCAAGCUCAAGUCGAUCUUUCUAAAAUUAAGAUCCACAGAGAGGGCCUGACCUAGAAAGGACCAGCGUCUGGGUUCCAUAGUGGAGGAUUUACCAAAUAUUGACCUAAAAGCCGUGGCUCAGAACUGGGUCUGCAGCCUGAGGAAGGGCACACAUGGAGUGAGGGCAGAACAAGGAGACUCAGCCCCAGACAACGGGCCGGGAACCAGCGGGAGAGGUGUUAUGAGAGAGAACCCCAUCCUGAGACCCCUGCAGAGACGGGAGACCGUGCCGCAGCUAAUCCACUCUGCUUCCAGCUCAGCUAAUCCACUCUGCUUCCAGCUCGGAGCUUCUCCGUCCUAGACGGUGUGGACCACGUGAGCAGAGCACAGGCUCCGGACGCACAGGCUCAGUGGCC
Molecule: non-coding RNA, 5435 nt
Organism: Delphinapterus leucas (beluga whale)
Lineage: Eukaryota; Metazoa; Chordata; Mammalia; Artiodactyla; Monodontidae
Source: RefSeq, a predicted model, not a curated record